Molecule: ribosomal RNA, 406 nt
Filed under: uncultured bacterium
Lineage: Bacteria
Description: bacterial SSU rRNA
Rfam family: Bacterial small subunit ribosomal RNA
Source: RNAcentral
UGGGGAAUAUUGGGCAAUGGACGCAAGUCUGACCCAGCAACGCCGCGUGAAGGAAGAAGGCUUUCGGGUUGUAAACUUCUUUUAAGGGGGAAGAGCAGAAGACGGUACCCCUUGAAUAAGCCACGGCUAACUACGUGCCAGCAGCCGCGGUAAUACGUAGGUGGCAAGCGUUGUCCGGAUUUACUGGGUGUAAAGGGCGUGCAGCCGGGCUGACAAGUCAGAUGUGAAAUUCCAGGGCUCAACUCUGGAACUGCAUUUGAAACUAUUGGUCUUGAGUACCGGAGAGGUUAUCGGAAUUCCUUGUGUAGCGGUGAAAUGCGUAGAUAUAAGGAAGAACACCAGUGGCGAAGGCGAAUAACUGGACGGCAACUGACGGUGAGGCGCGAAAGCGUGGGGAGCAAACAGG